Molecule: non-coding RNA, 88 nt
Organism: Mycena vulgaris
Lineage: Eukaryota; Fungi; Basidiomycota; Agaricomycetes; Agaricales; Mycenaceae
Source: the annotation of a GenBank genome assembly
AGCAGUAUGGUGUAUUGUGCACACGGGGCUCUCUUAAUCGGGGGAUUUCAUACACCCCGAGGUCCUCAUUCGAAUCGAGGUGCUGCUC